UAGCCCGAAACCCGUGGGCUGACCCGAUUAACCCGCCACCCGAGAGGGUUAGGGUUGAAUAUUUUCAACCCGAUAAAAGUUACAACCCGAUUAGCCCGUAACCGAAUAGCCCGGCACCCGAUAGGGCCGGCCCGACUAACCCGAUGGGCUAGCCCGAAACCCGAAUACUUAAUAUUAAAUAUUUAGAUAUAAAAAUAAAAAAAUGACAAAAUAUUAUAAAGUCUCAUCAUUUCACUUUUCUGUAUUUUU
This 249-nucleotide long non-coding RNA is filed under the name Salvia miltiorrhiza (redroot sage). RNAcentral describes it as "long non-coding RNA (SMIL_LNC013677)". The record is from RNAcentral. Lineage: Eukaryota; Viridiplantae; Streptophyta; Magnoliopsida; Lamiales; Lamiaceae.